This 253-nucleotide ribosomal RNA is filed under the name uncultured bacterium. RNAcentral describes it as "partial 16S ribosomal RNA". It matches the Rfam family "Bacterial small subunit ribosomal RNA", at positions 524 to 776 of the family's 1533-position model. The record is from RNAcentral.
UACGGAAGGGGCAAGCGUUGUUCGGAAUCAUUGGGCGUAAAGGGUGCGUAGGUGGCGCCGUAAGUCGGGUGUGAAAUUUCGGAGCUUAACUCCGAAACUGCAUUCGAUACUGCGGUGCUUGAGGACUGGAGAGGAGACUGGAAUUCAUGGUGUAGCAGUGAAAUGCGUAGAGAUCAUGAGGAAGACCAGUGGCGAAGGCGGGUCUCUGGACAGUUCCUGACACUGAGAAGCGAAAGCAUGGGGAGCGAACAGG